This 93-nucleotide ribosomal RNA is filed under the name Paenibacillus odorifer. The record is from RNAcentral. Lineage: Bacteria; Bacillati; Bacillota; Bacilli; Caryophanales; Paenibacillaceae.
UUUGGUGGCGAUAGCGGAGGGGUUCCACACGUACCCAUCCCGAACACGACCGUUAAGCCCUCCAGCGCCGAUGGUACUUGGACCGAAGGGUCC